Spea bombifrons (plains spadefoot toad) is the source of this 1173-nucleotide long non-coding RNA. RefSeq lists it as uncharacterized. Lineage: Eukaryota; Metazoa; Chordata; Amphibia; Anura; Pelobatidae. The record is from RefSeq and is a predicted model, not a curated record. The transcript has 2 exons.
UGGCUUUGUGAAGGGGUGGAGCAAGCUCCAGACAGCCUUUAGUAGAUGGGCAGAGAGAGAGAGAGAGAGAGAGAAAUAGGCGAUGAAUGGAGACCCAGGGAAAGAGGGCUUCCCAGGCAUGAAUGAGGCCAUACUAGGAUUUACAUAUCAAGACCAAUUCUGUUGCAUGUUGGUAAAAGUAUCAGCAGCGACAUUCCAUUGCUUACUAUAGUUAUAACAUUGUAUACAUAAACGCCAUUAUACUGUUUUUCAGUAGAGCUAUGCCGUAUUUCUUGUAUUGUGAUACAUAGGAAUACAAAACAUAAGGCUGUAAGCUGCACAUUCUCAGGAAAGAGGGCUAAUUGUGUGGCCUGUCUAUAUUGCCAGUUCAUGUGGCGUGACAGGAAUCACAUCCAAUUUUAUGAAGCCAUAAUGGACAUCUAGAGAUCAAGAUGAUUUAUUCAUUAAACCACAUAUUGACCCAGGAUAUGAUCCUUCUGGGCUUAUCACUAUAAUUAACACUGAUUUGCUUCGGUUUUUGCAAAAUGAUAAAAUAUACUGUGUGCCCCAACAUAUUACUCUGUUUCAAUGGAAACUAAUAACUUGAUCAGGUGAGUUUGCGUCAAGACGGAGGUACUUGAUGUAUAAUAUAUUUACACCAUGUGUCUUACAUGAUAUAUGGUAUACAUCUUAUAACCUAAGUUUAUGGUGGAUUUUGGUUUAAUGGGAUGCAUCUCCCCCACUGUUUUAUUCCACAAAGUAAUUCAACAUAAACUUUGUGCUUCAUAUGUUAAAUAGAAUAAAUUUUAGAAAAGGUAUUUUAUAUAUGAUUGUGCCUGGGUUUGUUUCAAAGAGCUCUUCAUAUAAUUGGUUUUCAGUAUAUAUAAAACACAGGUGACAGCAGCAGCAUGCACUGCUAUGUCUUGCAUGCUGCUAAUCAAAGAUAUAUUACCAGGUUUCAUAAUGUUCCAUCAGUGUCUCUCCGAGUGAAGGAAUGUAUUCUACAAUGCAUGUAAAAAUGCCUCCAAAACAUUUAGAUUUGGCUGCCAAAUUGUAAUAAGAUUAUAUAUAUAUAUGAAAAUAUUCUCUGCCUUGACAAUCAUAUAUACACAUGGUUAUGUCUGUCAUGAUAAGCUAACGGGAUGCCUGAUUGUUUUAUUCAAAUAAAUCCAGUUUAAUCACCUCAAUAUGAAA